Molecule: long non-coding RNA, 4674 nt
Organism: Oncorhynchus tshawytscha (Chinook salmon)
Lineage: Eukaryota; Metazoa; Chordata; Actinopteri; Salmoniformes; Salmonidae
Source: Ensembl
AAAGUUAAAAAGCUUACCGUGCACGAUGUGAAGAACCAAAGCGUGCAAACUGAUGUGGCCACGUUUAUUCAGUUCGUUAUACUUUCUGUUAUUUAGUUGUUGUGUUUGUGUUAACGUCGGAAUAUGUCUCCAAAGAAGAAGCAUGGGUCAAGUCAUCAAUUGAUCCAUUUGAUCUAUCGACAUUUGAAGGAAAACGGCUUCCAGAAAGCUGCAGAAGAACUCAAAAAGCAUGUGAAGGGCGGAGAACCAGAAGCCUUGUCAACUUCACUACUGGACAUCUACAAUAAAUGGUUUGGAGAUGCUUCCAAGAGUACAAAGACUGGAACAGAACCGGAUUCUUCUGAGUUAAAAAAGAACCGUCAAGCAGACCCUGAAAGCAGCACAGAGAGCUCGAGUUCAGCAGAGGAAGAAACAACACCUGUUAAAGCCUCCCAGACCCCAAAGCCUCAGAGCUCAGCUAAGGCCAGCCCAACUAAGGCCAAGACUGCAGUGCAGACGACUCUUGGAGGGAAGGGGACAGUAGUGGAGGAGAUCUCUGGGACAGACAGCUCAGAGGACUCUGAGAGUGAGGAGACACCGCCACAAGAUAGCCCUGCUACGCCCAAAGCCAAUCAUGUUCCAGCUGCAAAGAUCAAGGCCGUGUCAGAGGUCACACCAUCGACCCCAACCAAGGCCAAGUUAACAACCACUUCCACGACUAAAUCUGGGGCCUCCAGCAAUACCACUGAUACGUCGUCAGACAGGAAAGAGGCAACAACAGUGAAAACACCCUUGACGCCAGCACCAGUGACGCCAACCAGUAAACCAACAUCAACAGCCAAGACGAAAGCUACUCCAACUAAAGCAGUGGUUGUUGCUACUCCAAGCAAGGCCACGGCAACAACAACAGCCACACCUGCAUCUACAGCAUCCGACUCCUCCAGUUGCAGCAUGGAAUCGUCAGAUAGCGAUGAGGAGAGUCCCGCUGUGAAAACACCCACAACACCAAGAGCAACACCUGCAAAACCGGUAACACCAAUUAGUAAAACAACAUCAACGGCCAAGCCAACAACCAAGUCGAAGACUACAGCGCCAGAGGCUUCCAGUGACAGCUGUGAUUCAUCAUCAGAAAGUGAAGAGGAAGGUCCAACAGUGAAAACACAGACAGCGCCAGUGAAGCAACAGACAGCAACACCAACAGCCAAGAUGAAAGCCACCCCAGUUAAACCAGUGGUUGCUGCUACCCCAAAUAAGACCUCGGCUAGUAAGGAGUCCAGUGAUAGCAUUGAUUUGUCAUCAGACAGCAACGGGGAGAGUCCAGCAACAACAACAGCUGCCACUCCGAAAGCUACACCAGUGGUGCAACAGAAAGUAACAUCAACAGCCAAGACGAAAGCUACUCCAACUAAAGCAGUGGUUGUUGCUACUCCAAGCAAGGCCACGGCAACAACAACUGCCACACCUGCAUCUACAGCAUCCGACUCAUCCAGUUGCAGUAGUGAAUCGUCAGAUAGCGAUGAGGAGAGUCCCGCUGUGAAAACACCCACAACACCAAGAGCAACACCUGCAAAACCGGUAACACCAAUUAGUAAAACAACAUCAACGGCCAAGCCAACAACCAAGUCGAAGACUACAGCGCCAGAGGCUUCCAGUGACAGCUGUGAUUCAUCAUCGGAAAGUGAAGAGGAAGGUCCAACGGUGAAAACACAGACAUCAACAGCCAAGACGAAAGCCCCUCCGGGUACCUCAGUUAAACCAGUGGUCGCUGCCACUCCAAGCAAGACCCCAGCUAGUAAGGAGUCCAGUGACAGCAUUGAUUUGUCAUCAGACAGCGAAGAGGACAGUCCAGCAACGGAAGCAGCCACAACACCGGCAAAACCUGCUAAUAAUGCUACCCCGGCUAGAGCAGCGACUGUUGCCCCUCCAUGCAAGGCUACGGCAACAGCCACUGUCACAGCCGAGACUACAACAGCAGAGUCAUCUAGUGACAGCAGUGAUUCGUCAGACAGUGAAGAGCAGGUUCCAUCGGUGACAACAGCCGCAACACCGACAGCUACAACGGGGAAGCAAACAAAACCAACAUCAACAGCCAGGAGGAAAGCCCCUCCGGCUACCCCACUUAAACCAGUGGUUGCUGCCACUCUAAGUAAAACCCCAGCUAGUAAGGGGUCCAGUGACCGCAUUGAUUUGUCAUCGGACAGUGAAGAAGAGGGUCCGGCACCGAAAACAGCCGUGACAACAGCCCCUCCUGCCAACCCAGCUAAAGCAGCGACUGUUGCCACUCCAAGCAAGCCUAAGGCAACAGCCACUGUCACCGCCAAGACUACAAAACCAGGGUCAUCUAGUGACAGCAGUGUUUCAGCAACAACAACAGCGGCAAGACCGAAAGAUACACCAGUGAAGCAAUCAAAACCAACAUCAACAGCAAGGACGAAAGCCCUUCCGAGUACCCCAGUUAAACCAAUGGUCGCUGCCACUCCAAGCAAGACCCCAGCUAGUAAGGGGUCCAGUGAUAGCGGUGAUUCGUCAUCAGACAGCGAAGAGGACAGUCCAGCAACGAUAACAACGUCAAAACCACAAACUACACCAGUGACGCCAGCGAAACUGAAAGCAACAUCAAAAGCCAAGACGAAAGCCACUCCAGCUAAGCCCGUGGUUGCUGCUACCCCAAGCAAGGCCCAGGCAACACCCACUGUCACACCUACAAGUACAGCACCAGAGUCGUCCAAUGACAGCGAUGACUCACCAUCAGACAUCCCAGAUGAAGCCCCAGCAAAGCAUGCUGAGGUUCAACUUAAGACCCCUGCUUCAGCUAAGAAGGCCCAGGGUGGGGGAAUGGGAAAUAAAUCUGCUUCUAAGGACCUGCUCCUACUGCUGAACAGUCUUACUUCACCCACAGCGAAAGCCAUUGAGAAGAAGAGUGUCCGUCGUGGAGACUCCUCCGUUGAGGAAACUCCAGCUGUUACAGCAACACCUGCUGGCCUCGGCUCCAUCAGCCAAGAGGAAAAGAGGUGAAGACAAACCAGGGGACACACCCGUGAAAGGCAAAAAGAAGAAGCCCUCGCCUGAGACUGUCAUGGCUGCCCUGCCUCUGACCGUUCUUGGUCCUCCUCCUACAGGGGGAGACGACUCUGGCUCGGACUCUGACUCCGAUCUGGACGUGGAGAAGUGGAAGAGACUGGCACUGGAACUAUCAGACACAAACAUCGCCAAAAUGGACGCCAUCACUGCGCUGAACGCCUCACCUGCUCCUGCCUCAGCAGCGAAGAAAACAAGAGCGCCGACGAAGCCCAGGGCUAAAGCUGCAUCGAAGACACCUAAACCCAAGGCUGGCGCUGCAGUGGAAAAGUCUAGUGCUGCUGAAAAAGUCAAGACUACAGCUGAAAAGGAAGAUGGGAAUGGGAAGACCAAGACAUCUGCAAAAGCCACUAAAGCCAAGUCCAGUCAGGCUAAGAAGGCAGCACCUCCCACCCCAUCAGUCAAAGACAAACAGCCACCCACCAUGCCUGCUACCCCAACACCUAAUGGAGAACCGUCAGCCAGGAAAAGGAAGAGGAAUAGGAAAAAUAGGAACAAUGAGACUAAAGCAGAUGACAAUUCACCACAACCUCAAAAGAAGAAAAGGGAAACCGGCGAAGAGAAGACGGAUGAAAAGAAAAAUGAGACUGUAGAAGAGAAGGAACCAGGGAAGGAAAAGAAGAGGACGACUAAGGAGAAUGGUGCAAAAAAGGAGAAGGGAGCGAAGAAGAAACAGGAGGAGAUAAGAAAGGAGAAUGAGACUAAGAUGGAACUGGAAAAGGAUAAGAAGAAGAAAACGAAUGAGAACUGUGUUGACAAGGAACCACCACCUCCAUCCACCACAGUAACACCUGAUUCUCCAACAGAGAAGAAAAAGAUUAAAAAGCUGAAACUCUCAAAGACUGCAGUGUCUGAGAUGCCAGCCACACCUGCCCAAGACUCCAUCCCUGUACAGCACCCUCCAGCACCCACAGAGACCCCACCUAAAAAGAAAAAGAAAUCAUCUAAGAGUAAGUAAGGCCUUUAGAGAUGAAGACCAUCUAAAAGGGGCCUCUCAAGUGUAUGUGGACCUGGACCCAUUCUACCUAAAUGGCAGUGCAGCAACAACUGGUAAAGACUGUCUGUCCACAGAAUGGUCUCCCUGGACCAGAUCUAUUUUUUAUUACAUUGUAUACUGUAACAAAUGAACUCUUUUCCCGUUUUGCUAAAGUGGAAACAGUGUUUUUUUAGCCUAUUUGUUUAUCUAUUUUUUAAAACUGUAACUGCAUGUCCUGUACAGGUUCUAACUGUUUUCCUAUUUGAAGAUGGCAUACUAUGUGAUGUGCCGCAGCUGUUUUUAUGUUACUGUAACAUUUUAAUUAUGGUGUUUUCUUGCAUGUCCUUGUGACAGCGGAAAAAAACAGAAUGAUUUACGGAAAUGUUACGUUUACGACAGCUUUUGCUGCUUUGCCUCACAUGGUGUUUAAGGCCGAUCCUAAGUGGAGGGAAUGAUCAGAGGAACCUCAAUACAGUAAUGAAGCCCAGAGCCAUUGUUUAACCCUUACACCCUAGUAAUGAAUGCAUAAUAUGGAAAUAUUUGAGAUACUACUAGGAAAAUAGAUUUUUUAUUUUUUUUUAAGUUUCAUGGUCAGAUGUGUUUACUGUAUCUUUUUCACAAAAUUAAGUCAUUUUUCCACA